Mauremys mutica (yellowpond turtle) is the source of this 567-nucleotide long non-coding RNA. RefSeq lists it as uncharacterized. The transcript has 3 exons. Lineage: Eukaryota; Metazoa; Chordata; Testudines; Geoemydidae. The record is from RefSeq and is a predicted model, not a curated record.
GGCUGAUUUUCAAAAGGACUUUUCACCUUUUAAGAAAAAGAGAGAGCAAAGAUACAGGUUCACAGUUUUCAUUCUGUCUCUGGGGAGCAUAAUUUUCAUGAUAAUGGCACCUAUUAUGAUUUCUUUGAUAAAAUUAUUGCAUUCUGAACGUAUCAUUCCUGUAAAUGGCAUCAAAAUGAAAAUAAAGCAUGAAGAACCCCCUGGUUCUGUGGUACAGAGUUGGUCAACUUGUCAUGUUCAGCAAACCCAGGACUGAAGAGCAUAUCCUUUGAACAGAAGUUUCCCAUCUUGACUGAAAGGCUUAUUUAGAGCUAUUUCCAGUGUUUACCAUCAAGUUUGCUAGCUCUAGACCCCAGCCGGUCCCUCCCGAUUUGCCCAGAGUAUACAGUAACUGUCGUGGGCCUGUGCAUAGACACCAAAAGGUGCUCUUAACAAGAACUACGAGAUGGUGUAUCUAUGACUUCAAGAAGCAAAAGGAACAAGAGCGCUAUUUUCUUUGUAUCCGUAUACCAAAGUAUGGUAUUUAGUCAGAACUGUACAAAUAUCAUUUCUCUGUUUAAUAGUGUA